Molecule: ribosomal RNA, 251 nt
Filed under: uncultured Enterobacteriaceae bacterium
Lineage: Bacteria; Pseudomonadati; Pseudomonadota; Gammaproteobacteria; Enterobacterales; Enterobacteriaceae
Description: partial 16S ribosomal RNA
Rfam family: Bacterial small subunit ribosomal RNA
Source: RNAcentral
UUGCUGACGAGUGGCGGACGGGUGAGUAAUGUCUGGGAAACUGCCUGAUGGAGGGGGAUAACUACUGGAAACGGUAGCUAAUACCGCAUAAUGUCGCAAGACCAAAGAGGGGGACCUUCGGGCCUCUUGCCAUCGGAUGUGCCCAGAUGGGAUUAGCUUGUUGGUGGGGUAACGGCUCACCAAGGCGACGAUCCCUAGCUGGUCUGAGAGGAUGACCAGCCACAUUGGGACUGAGACACGGCCCAGACUCC